UGAAUUGACGGGGACCGCACAAGCGGUGGAUGAUGUGGUUUAAUUCGAUGCAACGCGAAAACCUUACCACCUUUGACAUGUACGGAACCCUGAAGAGAUUUGGGAGUGCUCGCAAGAGAACCGGAACACAGGUGCUACAUUGGCUGUCGUCAGCUCGUGUCGUGAGAUGUUGGGUUAAGUCCCGCAACGAGCGCAACCCUUGUCAUUAGUUGCUACGAAAGGGCACUCUAAUGAGACUGCCGGUGACAAACCGGAGGAAGGUGGGGAUGACGUCAAGUCCUCAUGGCCCUUAUGGGUAGGGCUUCACACGUCAUACAAUGGUCGGGACGGAGGGUUGCCAACCCGCGAGGGGGAGCUAAUCCCAUAAACCCGAUCGUAGUCCGGAUUGCAGUCUGCAACUCGACUGCAUGAAGUCGGAAUCGCUAGUAAUCGCGGAUCAGCAUGUCGCGGUGAAUACGUUCCCGGGUCUU
Molecule: ribosomal RNA, 470 nt
Filed under: uncultured Bordetella sp.
Lineage: Bacteria; Pseudomonadati; Pseudomonadota; Betaproteobacteria; Burkholderiales; Alcaligenaceae
Description: bacterial SSU rRNA
Rfam family: Bacterial small subunit ribosomal RNA
Source: RNAcentral